RNAcentral lists this ribosomal RNA (524 nucleotides) under uncultured bacterium. Its description in RNAcentral is "bacterial SSU rRNA". It matches the Rfam family "Bacterial small subunit ribosomal RNA", at positions 986 to 1509 of the family's 1533-position model. The record is from RNAcentral.
AUCCAGAGAACUUAGCAGAGAUGCUUUGGUGCCUUCGGGAACUCUGAGACAGGUGCUGCAUGGCUGUCGUCAGCUCGUGUUGUGAAAUGUUGGGUUAAGUCCCGCAACGAGCGCAACCCUUUAUCCUUUGUUGCCAGCGGUUCGGCCGGGAACUCAAAGGAGACUGCCGGUGAUAAACCGGAGGAAGGUGGGGAUGACGUCAAGUCAUCAUGGCCCUUACGGCCAGGGCUACACACGUGCUACAAUGGCGCAUACAAAGAGAAGCGACCUCGCGAGAGCAAGCGGACCUCAUAAAGUGCGUCGUAGUCCGGAUUGGAGUCUGCAACUCGACUCCAUGAAGUCGGAAUCGCUAGUAAUCGUAGAUCAGAAUGCUACGGUGAAUACGUUCCCGGGCCUUGUACACACCGCCCGUCACACCAUGGGAGUGGGUUGCAAAAGAAGUAGGUAGCUUAACCUUCGGGAGGGCGCUUACCACUUUGUGAUUCAUGACUGGGGUGAAGUCGUAACAAGGUAGGCGUAGCGAG